Molecule: ribosomal RNA, 468 nt
Filed under: uncultured bacterium
Lineage: Bacteria
Description: partial 16S ribosomal RNA
Rfam family: Bacterial small subunit ribosomal RNA
Source: RNAcentral
GACGAACGCUGGCGGCGUGCUUAACACAUGCAAGUCGAACGGAAAGGCCCUGCUUUUGUGGGGUGCUCGAGUGGCGAACGGGUGAGUAACACGUGAGUAACCUGCCCUUGACUGUGGGAUAACUUCAGGAAACUGGGGCUAAUACCGGAUAGGAGCUCCUGCUGCAUGGUGUGGGUUGGAAAGUUUCGGCGGUUGGGGAUGGACUCGCGGCUUAUCAGCUUGUUGGUGGGGUAGUGGCUUACCAAGGCUUUGACGGGUAGCCGGCCUGAGAGGGUGACCGGCCACAAUGGGACUGAGAUACGGACCAGACGGCUACGGGAGGCAGCAGUGGGGAAUAUUGCACAAUGGGCGGAAGCGUGAUGCAGCAACGCUGCGUGCGGGAUGACGGCCUUCGGGUUGUAAACCGCUUUCGAAUGUGACGAAGAGUGAGUGACGGUAAUGGGUAAAGAAGCACCGGCUAACUACGUG